AAGGAGGUGAUCCAGCCGCACCUUCCGAUACGGCUACCUUGUUACGACUUCACCCCAAUCAUCUAUCCCACCUUAGGCGGCUGGCUCCAAAAAGGUUACCUCACCGACUUCGGGUGUUACAAACUCUCGUGGUGUGACGGGCGGUGUGUACAAGGCCCGGGAACGUAUUCACCGCGGCGUGCUGAUCCGCGAUUACUAGCGAUUCCGGCUUCAUGUAGGCGAGUUGCAGCCUACAAUCCGAACUGAGAGAAGCUUUAAGAGAUUAGCUUAGCCUCACGACUUCGCGACUCGUUGUACUUCCCAUUGUAGCACGUGUGUAGCCCAGGUCAUAAGGGGCAUGAUGAUUUGACGUCAUCCCCACCUUCCUCCGGUUUGUCACCGGCAGUCUUGCUAGAGUGCCCAACUAAAUGAUGGCAACUAACAAUAAGGGUUGCGCUCGUUGCGGGACUUAACCCAACAUCUCACGACACGAGCUGACGACAACCAUGCACCACCUGUCACUUUGCCCCCGAAGGGGAAGCUCUAUCUCUAGAGUGGUCAAAGGAUGUCAAGACCUGGUAAGGUUCUUCGCGUUGCUUCGAAUUAAACCACAUGCUCCACCGCUUGUGCGGGCCCCCGUCAAUUCCUUUGAGUUUCAACCUUGC
RNAcentral lists this ribosomal RNA (644 nucleotides) under Enterococcus mundtii. RNAcentral's name for it is "partial 16S ribosomal RNA". The record is from RNAcentral. Lineage: Bacteria; Bacillati; Bacillota; Bacilli; Lactobacillales; Enterococcaceae.